UGGGGGAUAUUGCACAAUGGGCGAAAGCCUGAUGCAGCGACGCCGCGUGGGGGAUGAAGGCCUUCGGGUUGUAAACUCCUUUUGCUCUGAACAAGGCAUGCCUUUGGGGUGUGUUGAGUGUAGGGGUUGAUUAGCGCCGGCUAACUACGUGCCAGCAGCCGCGGUAAUACGUAGGGCGCGAGCGUUGUCCGGAAUUAUUGGGCGUAAAGGGCUUGUAGGUGGCUGGUUGCGUCUGUCGUGAAAGCUCAUGGCUUAACUGUGGGUUUGCGGUGGGUACGGGCUGGCUUGAGUGCAGUAGGGGAGGCUGGAAUUCCUGGUGUAGCGGUGGAAUGCGCAGAUAUCAGGAGGAAUACCGGUGGCGAAGGCGGGUCUCUGGGCUGUUACUGACGCUGAGGAGCGAAAGCGUGGGGAGCGAACAGG
RNAcentral lists this ribosomal RNA (420 nucleotides) under Fusobacteriota bacterium. Its description in RNAcentral is "Fusobacteria bacterium partial 16S ribosomal RNA". It matches the Rfam family "Bacterial small subunit ribosomal RNA", at positions 355 to 776 of the family's 1533-position model. The record is from RNAcentral. Lineage: Bacteria; Fusobacteriati; Fusobacteriota.